CUAUCCAUGUCCACUUUGGUUUGAUUUAUCACCAGGCUUUUGUUGUGCCAAGUGGAGUCUGAAAACAAAAAGGACUCCUCGGAAUAAUGAAGAUGCUCAGCAGGAGGGGAGGGAGAGAAGUCAUCCUGGAUAACAGAGCUUGAGGAGAGAAGAGAAGAUUAAUACAGAAGUCUGAAGCCAGAUGCUGUGUGUGUACCUGUGGUUUCAGCUACUUGAUCAACCAUAUGUCUGCUGGAAUCACUUGGGCUUGGCUCCUGGCUGCAGUUGGAUUCUGGUUCUCAGCUGGGAAGAACUGAGUCAUAUUUUUAAUGCUAAGGUCAAUGCGGAGCCCCAGACACUGUGGAUACAGCUUCCAAUUGGUGCUCUCAGUUGUCCUUGUGGCUCCCAGUUCAUCCUCAGGCUUCCAAUUUGUCCUGACUCUCAUUCAUGUCCAGCCUUCUCCUUGACAGCCGAUAUAAGUGACCCAGAGACAACGUUAGUGAACAGAGUUCUCUGCCAGCUCCCACAAUUGUGUAAGGUCUAAAUGCUGUAAUAAAUCCCCUCUCUGAUGCUCACAGUGGAUCUCUGAUUGAAACCUGA
This is a long non-coding RNA of Callithrix jacchus (white-tufted-ear marmoset), 579 nucleotides long. RefSeq lists it as uncharacterized. NCBI's taxonomy places the organism in Eukaryota, Metazoa, Chordata, Mammalia, Primates, Cebidae. The record is from RefSeq and is a predicted model, not a curated record.